Molecule: ribosomal RNA, 492 nt
Filed under: uncultured bacterium
Lineage: Bacteria
Description: partial 16S ribosomal RNA
Rfam family: Bacterial small subunit ribosomal RNA
Source: RNAcentral
AGUGAACGCUGGCGGUAGGCCUAACACAUGCAAGUCGAACGGCAGCACAGUAAGAGCUUGCUCUUACGGGUGGCGAGUGGCGGACGGGUGCGGAAUACAUCGGAAUCUACUUUUUCGUGGGGGAUAACGUCGGGAAACUUACGCUAAUACCGCAUACGACCUACGGGUGAAAUCUGGGGAUCUUCGGACCUUGCCCGAUUGUAUGAGCCGAUGUCGGAUUAGCUAGUUGGCGGGGUAAAGGCCCACCAAGGCGACGAUCCGUAGCUGGUCUGAGAGGAUGAUCAGCCACACUGGAACUGAGACACGGUCCAGACUCCUACGGGAGGCAGCAGUGGGGAAUAUUGGACAAUGGGCGCAAGCCUGAUCCAGCCAUACCGCGUGGGUGAAGAAGGCCUUCGGGUUGUAAAGCCCUUUUGUUGGGAAAGAAAAGCAGCAGGUUAAUACCCCGCUGUUCUGACGGUACCCAAAGAAUAAGCACCGGCUAACUUCGUG